RNAcentral lists this ribosomal RNA (483 nucleotides) under uncultured bacterium. Its description in RNAcentral is "partial 16S ribosomal RNA". It matches the Rfam family "Bacterial small subunit ribosomal RNA", at positions 28 to 523 of the family's 1533-position model. The record is from RNAcentral.
GACGAACGCUGGCGGCGUGCUUAACACAUGCAAGUCGAACGAUGAAGCCGGAGCUUGCUCCGGUGGAUUAGUGGCGAACGGGUGAGUAACACGUGAGCAAUCUGCCCUUGACUCUGGGAUAACUGCGGGAAACUGUAGCUAAUACCGGAUACGACACCUUGGGGCAUCCCAGGGUGUGGAAAGAAUUUCGGUCAAGGAUGAGCUCGCGGCCUAUCAGCUAGUUGGUGAGGUAAUGGCUCACCAAGGCGACGACGGGUAGCCGGCCUGAGAGGGUGACCGGCCACACUGGAACUGGGACACGGUCCAGACUCCUACGGGAGGCAGCAGUGGGGAAUAUUGCACAAUGGGCGAAAGCCUGAUGCAGCAACGCGGCGUGAGGGAUGAAGGCCUUCGGGUUGUAAACCUCUUUUAGCAGGGAAGAAGCGAAAGUGACGGUACCUGCAGAAAAAGCACCGGCUAACUACGUGCCAGCCGCCGCGGUAA